GUGGUGUGGUGAAGAUCUCGUCGGCUUCUUCAGCACAACUCACUCGUUAUAACAUUGAUUGCUACUCAUUGUGUGUCACUUGAGCAAUAAUUUUCCCGGUUUUAUAAGUAUUUAUGGGAAUUGCUGUUGAUUGUGUGUUAAAAAAGUGCGUUUAUUAGUCUGAGUAACUGAUUAAACUUGAACACGGAUUUACUAUGUCUGAUGACCUCCCCAUGGUGCUGACCUCCCCAUGGUGCUGACCUCCCCAUGGUGCU
Molecule: long non-coding RNA, 254 nt
Organism: Homarus americanus (American lobster)
Lineage: Eukaryota; Metazoa; Arthropoda; Malacostraca; Decapoda; Nephropidae
Exons: 3
Source: RefSeq, a predicted model, not a curated record